CAACUUCAUUGCGCGAACGCGGGGAGAAAUCCGUGAGGAAAGUCCGAGCAUCACAGAGCGGGGUAGCUGCUAACGGCAGCCGAGGGCGACCUUAGGGCAAGUGCAACAGAGAUAUACCGCCGCGAAAGCGGUAAGGGUGGAAAGGCGAGGUAAGAGCUCACCGGAACGCGGGAGACCGCAGUUCCCUGUAAACCCUACCCGGUGCAACGCUUAAUUGGUACGAAGGAAAACGCGUCUGCUCGGCGCGCUUCGGAAUAAGCGGCUUGAUUCUUCGGGCGACCGAAGAGGUAGAUAAAUGUUCGUGCGCGACAUAACUCGGCUUACAGAUGAAGUUGCUUU
This 339-nucleotide RNase P RNA is filed under the name Ruminiclostridium sp. RNAcentral describes it as "RNase P RNA component class A". It matches the Rfam family "Bacterial RNase P class A". From Rfam's summary of the family: Ribonuclease P (RNase P) is a ubiquitous endoribonuclease, found in archaea, bacteria and eukarya as well as chloroplasts and mitochondria. Its best characterised activity is the generation of mature 5'-ends of tRNAs by cleaving the 5'-leader elements of precursor-tRNAs. Cellular RNase Ps are ribonucleoproteins. The record is from RNAcentral. Lineage: Bacteria; Bacillati; Bacillota; Clostridia; Eubacteriales; Oscillospiraceae.